Molecule: small nuclear RNA, 313 nt
Filed under: Salvator merianae (Argentine black and white tegu)
Lineage: Eukaryota; Metazoa; Chordata; Lepidosauria; Squamata; Teiidae
Description: 7SK RNA (ENSSMRG00000013778.1)
Rfam family: 7SK RNA
About the family: 7SK was discovered as an abundant small nuclear RNA in the mid-70s but a possible function has only recently been suggested. Two independent studies have found that 7SK RNA binds the CDK9/cyclin T complex (known as elongation factor P-TEFb).
Source: Rfam by way of RNAcentral
GGAUGUGAGGCUGAUUUGACUGUUACAUCUGUCACCCCACUGAUUGCCAGGGUUGAUUUGACAGAUCUGGCUUGUUCAACAGGUGUUUCCUUCCUCCCUAACUGCCCCAUGCAUGUCCCUCCUGAAGCUGCAUAUUAAACGGAAGAAGACAACUAUUCCACACAGGACAGAAGUGUACCAUUCUUUAGUCCAGAAUAUACAAUAGCUGAGCUCCCCUGCUAGAAACUCCUAACAAUUUCAAGGAUCUGAUCAGAUACUAAAACAAGGACUUCUUGUUCCUGUAAAAUCAGAAAGUGUUGGAAAGCUCAUCUUU